Long non-coding RNA from Sinocyclocheilus rhinocerous, 1312 nucleotides. RefSeq lists it as uncharacterized. The record is from RefSeq and is a predicted model, not a curated record. Lineage: Eukaryota; Metazoa; Chordata; Actinopteri; Cypriniformes; Cyprinidae. The transcript has 2 exons.
UUUAUUGCAUUGUCAAAUAAAUCCAGUGACUUUAUCAUAUUGCGUCCACCGUCCACCUCAACACAUUUCUCAUUUCCACUGCUCAGAUCAAGGAACUUGAGUUGGCACGACACAACACUGCCACUUAUCGGGAGCAUUCAGUAUGGCAGUCUGUCAUUGAUCAGUACUUAAAAGUCCUUCAAACAAACUUGAAUUUGACUGUUUGGAUUUAUGUAUUGCGUUUAAAUAUGUAGGUGAUUUUAAGGCUGCUUAAUGUAAACAUACUUGAGAUGAAGAAGGUAUUCUUUAUCAGAUUGUGUGCAUAUUAUUUUGAACAUCUUUCAGGGUCUUGCUGCACGACCAUUGAUCUGUUAAUUAACACACGGAUGUGAAGGCCUCUGUAUUGACGGUUUGUGCUCGGUAAUGAGAAUACCUGCGGGACAUCUAAAUCAAUGGAAGUCACAAGGGACAAUGCCAAGCAGUUGUUUACAGGCAUCCUGUAAACAGUUGUGGACGUCCAAAUUUUUCUGGAUGAGAAGGUAACGGCAAACAUAUAACUAAUGAUUUUCUUGUUUUAUAUUGGACCCAGUUCCUCUUCACAAAUGCUCUUAAAUUAAAUUUUAAAUAAAUAUUGCAAUUAACUAUUAAUUAUGUUUUGUUCAAAAACAUUGAACCAUGAAGUAUACUAUAACUAACACAAUAGGAUUUGUGGAUAAAGAUAAAUGUUGCGUUAAUGAUGGGAUAUUAAUGGAAUUAUAUUAAACAUCUUUAUUUUAAACUAAUGCAGUCAAUGUUUCACAAAUUCACACGUUAGAUAGACAGACAGACAGACAGAUAGAUAGAUAGAUAGAUAGAUAGAUUCAUUCCAUAAGUUUGGCUUCUGAAACUUGCUCAUCUUUUGUUUAGCGUUAUAAGGAAACAUUCAUUGUAGGGCCUUGUUACACAAAUUUUUGUAAAUUGUUCAUAAUACAUUCUUAAGUAAAUUGUCGCAUUCAGUUUAAUAAUUUGCAUGCAAGUAGAUUUAUGCACGAUUUACACAGAAAAUGCCUUGUUUCAUGAAUUAAGCCUGAUGUUUUGACAUUGACUGUUAGCUUAGGUUACAGUUGGAAAACACAUUUAAUGUACUAUUAAAUCUGCUAGUAAAUAUUCUGGACAUUUCAUACAUGAAAAACAUGAGUUUUCAUGCCUCUAAUAACAUAUGGGACGGUUGUAAACAUCAUAUUAGAUAUUUUCAAAAGAAUAAUUCCCUUUGGUGGGUCUUUUUAAAGCACAGUAUGAUUUGUCUCAGGCCCCAGAACAAUCCGACGUAAGUCAAUAGCAUCCUAAUAAAAAA